This 1068-nucleotide ribosomal RNA is filed under the name Triticum aestivum (bread wheat). RNAcentral describes it as "partial small subunit ribosomal RNA". Lineage: Eukaryota; Viridiplantae; Streptophyta; Magnoliopsida; Poales; Poaceae. The record is from RNAcentral.
AUGUGUGUACCAAAAAAGAAUUGAGGCAUGGGGUUUAGGGACUUGCAUGUUUUUAAUCUCAUGGUAGCGAAGCAAAGUUGGAGGUUGAUCACAAAACCAAAUUCUUUGUGUGCGACUGUUCUCAGAGCUAAGUAUUACCCCGAUGGCAAUUUAUUGAAAGCAGGUCCGACGAAGUCCUCUUUUACUUGGCAAAGCAUAAUUGUUGGGCUUUGUACGUUUAUGAGAGGACACAUAUGGAGAGUUGGUACUGUAGCCAAUAUCAACAUAUGGGAUGACCAUUGGGUGCCUAGCAGUCCGAACAGGAAAGUAAUAACUGUGAGAGGACAAAGACUUCCCCCAAAUGUAGAUGAUUUAAUUGAUCCCUUUACAUGACCGUGGGAUGAGGCUUUGAUUAGAGAUAAUUUUAUUUGGGUGGAUGUGGAAAGAAUUUUAUAAAUCCCUUUGAGCCCAAACAUGACUGAAGAUUUUGUGGCAUGGCAGUAUACGAAGUCGUUCUCGUUCUCGGUCCGAUCAACUUAUUAUGUGGAAUGAGAACAUCAAUUUGGUGCUCAAACUAGGCGGGAUGAUGGCCAAGGAGUUAUGAAUGCAAACCUGGUAUGGGAUAUUUUGUGGAAGUUACAAAUUCCAAGCAAGGUGAAAACUUUCGCCUGGCGUGCUUUACAUGGUAUUUUCCCGGGGAUGUCAAUCUUAGCAAACAGCCACAUCAAGGUACAGCCUCACCGCCCAGUAUGCAAGCAAGGCGAAGAUAUGCGGCGUCUGAUGUUUACAUGUGAAAGAUCAACAGAAGUAUGGAAGAAAAUGAGGUUGCAUGAAAUAGUAGGUGAGGUCAUUCAUAUUGACAGGUCAGGUAGUGUGAUCCUUGCAGAAUUACUCACACAGCUGGCGAGACAGUCACCUGUUCUCGGUAGGUUGGGAUUCCGGGAGUCUUUGGUGGUCGGGGCACGGUAUAUAUGGUGGCAGCGACGAGAAUUUGUUAAGGGCAAAAAUGUCCAAAAUCCUUCAAUUACUGUGUUCGCUAUCCAAGUGAUCACAAGUAACUUCUCUCGAGUUACGGAUCAGAAUAAAUAG